Long non-coding RNA from Vidua macroura (Pin-tailed whydah), 1920 nucleotides. RefSeq lists it as uncharacterized. The record is from RefSeq and is a predicted model, not a curated record. The transcript has 3 exons. Lineage: Eukaryota; Metazoa; Chordata; Aves; Passeriformes; Viduidae.
GAUGAUCUCAGAGGUCUUUUCUAAACCAGUUGACUGUGUAGUUCUGUAAUGCAGAAUAAAUGCCUCAAAUAGAAUAUAAGCAUCUCAAAGUCAGGUACCAAGAGGACGGUUCCAGAAUCUUUUCAGUUGUGCCCCGUGACAGGAUGAGGAGCAAUGGACAUAGACUAAAGUACAAGGAAUUUCACCUCAGCACGAGGAAGAGCUUUGCAUUGGGGGUGGAACAGGGAGGGUGUGGGGUCACCCUCCCUGAAGACAUUCCAGACCCACCUGGGCACGUUCCUGUGUCACUGCUCCAGGUGACCCUGCCUCGGCAGGGGGUUGGACAGUGAUGUCCAGAGCUCCCUUCCAACCCUGACAAUUCAUGAUUUUGUGAGGCAGCUGCCAGAAAAAGGAGAACCUCCUGCACCCGGGGCUGGAGGACCAAUGGCCACAGCCAUCCCUGCUCCAGCACCCACCCUGGGGGAGGCAAGCGCAUGACUGGGGGCAAAAGUGAUGGGGGAACAUGUUUGUUCUUAUGUUUUGUUCUUACGUUAAACAGAACAGAAAUAGAGUAUGGCGUGCAGAGAUCCUCCACAAGAGGCAGGAGGUGAAGCCAGGACAUCCUCCGUGCUCCCAGGCUUUGUGAGGGACUGGCACAGUGCAGCCAGCAAGGCAGAGGACUCCUUAACAGACAUUUCACAGCAACGAGGACAAGACAGUUGAUGUCAAGUGCUCUGAUGAUAACAUUUUGGAGAGAACACAUCACCUGAGCUUUUCUAAAACACCAUUAGGACUGUGACUGUGUGUACUGGUAACUUGCUGAGGCAGGUACUCAAAUAUUGAAAGGCCAAAAAACACACAGUCUCUCAGUCUGGAAAUCUUUCACUGUUGUACCUUGUGUAACUGGAUAAUAACGACUAAAAAAUCCUAUAGACUUACAGUGAAAAGGAAGCAAAUCAGUGUUGACAACAGUGUGCAAAAUCUGUUUUACCUCUCCCAAGAUGCAGCGUGUGGAAGUUGUGUUGCAGUAAUCCUCACUGGGUAAGCUUUGCAUGUGUGUCAUGCUGCUGCAAGUUUCUUAAAGAAAUACCAUCAGAACAUGUUUCUGAGAUGGAUUUAAAAAAAACCAGAUAUUUUUGUAUUUUCUUUAUGAUACAAAACAGAUUUAAGGGCAAUGCCAAAGGUUGGAUAGUAUCAAACUAAAUUUGUUUUUGGAGAUUAACAAAGAGACAUCUCUGUUAUACAGCUGCUUGUAGAGGAGGAGGUUAGGUUGUAAGGUGUAUCUUGAAUUCUCUAAUACAUUUGGAUGUGUUGCACUAAUUCUUUUGGCAUUUCCAGCAACUGUAGUUUGCAUUUACUGCAUCUGAUUUGGAACCCUAAGUUGGAAGCCAAAUUUCACGAGAAGGGAAGUCUUCCUCCAAGUCCCUCUCACACUGAAUUUGUUAUACAGAAGAGAAAGCAGAACUGCUGUGCACAAACUGAGUGUCUGGCUGAGCUAACAAACCCAGAGCUGCCCUGACUCCAUCAGUGUCAGCCACGUCCUGAUCCCAAGGUGAAAAGACAUGGCAGCAGAAGAUUGAAAUUCUUCUACAAGGAAUUUUUUGUGCCCUUGAGUGGGUCCUAUCUGAAAUACUAACUGAGGUACAGUCCUGGCUAGAGGCUGCAUCCCAUCUUGCUUGUUGUUCUACAGAGGAAUGAAGAAUACAUGCUUAGGCAGUGAUGCAAUUCAGUGCAUUAUCAAGUAAUGAUUUAUGGUUAAGACUUGAAGCUAAAUUCUAGCAAACAUUAAUAUUUUCAAUGCUGAAAUGGGAAAUGUCACAAUAUGAGAAAGCCAGUGUGCUAGAGAAGCACAUUAAUGAGAAGAUGAAAAGCCUUUGAAGAUCUGAGGGACAGUACCAGUGCAGAGUGAUAAGAUGAAAUUUUAAAUGAUGUUUGAGUGAA